RNAcentral lists this transfer RNA (65 nucleotides) under Taurulus bubalis. RNAcentral describes it as "tRNA-Cys". It matches the Rfam family "tRNA". Rfam says of the family: Transfer RNA (tRNA) molecules are approximately 80 nucleotides in length. Their secondary structure includes four short double-helical elements and three loops (D, anti-codon, and T loops). The record is from RNAcentral. Lineage: Eukaryota; Metazoa; Chordata; Actinopteri; Perciformes; Cottidae.
AGCCCCAGGGUGUAAACAUAUAAGAUUGCAAAUCUUAAGAGGCAGGCUAAUACCUGCUGGGGCUU